GUUGGGGGUGCUCUUAUANGUAAGGGUCUCUUGCCUGGAGGGGAUAGUCCACUCUACCCUGGCUGUGGUGGUGUAUGAGCCACCGCAGACACCCAAGUGUGACGGUUCCCCACCUGGAGGGGCGAGUUCCUUCUAUCCUGGCUGUGGCAGCAUGUGAGUUCCCCUGACACCUAGGUGGGAGGUAUCUCCUGCCUACACGAGGGAGUCCUCUCUACCCUGGCUGUAGAGGUAUACAAGCUUCCUCAGACACCCAGAUGGGAGGGGGUCUCCUGCCUGAAGGGGCGAGUACCCUCUACCCUGGCUGCAGUGGUAUAUGAGCUCCCCUUGGUACCCAAGUGGGAAGGGUUUCCCGUCUGGAGGGGUAAGUUGCCUCUACCCUGGCUAAGGUGGUAUACCAGCUCCCUGGGACACCCAGGUGGAAGCGGUUUCCCGCCUGGAGGGGAAAGUCCCCUCAACUCUGGCUGCUGCAGUAUAGGAGCUCUGCUGACACCCAGGUGAGGGGAAUAUCCCACCUAGAGGGAAGGGUCCCCGGGCCACAGCCUGUGGAGGUAUAGGACAUCCCAUUGGCACUCAGGUGGGAGGGGCAAGUCCCUCCACCCUGGCUCUGGAAAUAUAGGAACUCCCCCCCACACCCAGCGUGGAAGGGUCUCUUGCCUUGAGGGACAAGUCACCUCUACAAUGAUUGCAGCGGGAUAAGAGCUCCCCCUGACAACCAGGUGAAAGGGGUCUCCUGCCUGGAGGGAUGAGUCCCUGCUAACCUGGAUAAAGUGGAAUACAAGCUGCAGACUUCUGGUAAAGUUCAAAUGGUGAACAGGACUUUAAGUAUCAAUUGUGUAAGCUGUGUCAGGAGACUCACUUACAUUGUGAUGAAUUUCUCAGUAUGACACUGUAGAUGAUUAGAUCCAUUCCCACCAAGAGGACUGGAUUCUCUCAUUAUAAGAUAAUGUAUGUGAGGCCACCCUAUUAUUAGGGGGACCAUUGGGAGACUUAAGAGAGAUAGGAGAAUUCACCCUGACAAGACAUAGGGAAAAUUUAACAGUUUCUCAACCAAUGUGUUAGAGAAAGAUUGCCACUAAGUUUGACCACAGGUGCACACUCCAUCAAGCCUGAAGAUGGAUUCUGCAUCAAAGAAUGGAAUAUUCAAACACCUAAACUUCUUUGGAAGGGCUCUUUCUCUGUUAUUUUAUGCACUCCAAUUGCAAUCAAGUUUGCAGACGUAGGUUCCUUGAUUGACUACACCAGACUCAAACAUACAGAUGUGGACUGGAUGUGCCCUCUAGAUGCUGUUAUACCCUGGAAGCUUACUGUCUGAAAAAAAGGAGCACCAGAGAAGCUUGAGUGUCAGAAACAAAACAGCCCUGCUUCAGUUACUCUGGAAGCUGACUGUUUUAUGAAUAGCUGAAGCCUGAGGAGGCUAUGGCCCUGCUUCAGCUGCAUGGGAGGGACUGGCUGAUCAGUGCACAAUGAAAGAUAAACUUUUGAACAGGACUAAUAAAUGCUUUCAACCCCUAAAAUAGUUCUUAUACUAUAAUUCAC
This 1536-nucleotide long non-coding RNA is filed under the name Marmota monax (woodchuck). Lineage: Eukaryota; Metazoa; Chordata; Mammalia; Rodentia; Sciuridae. The record is from RNAcentral.